This is a long non-coding RNA of Oncorhynchus tshawytscha (Chinook salmon), 1267 nucleotides long. Lineage: Eukaryota; Metazoa; Chordata; Actinopteri; Salmoniformes; Salmonidae. The record is from Ensembl.
GACAUUUCUUUUUGGUCUUUGGCAGGGGUUUUUUCCGGCUUGAGGAUCGCCUGAGACCAGCCACCCUGAUAGCUGAUGAAGCUGUGGGUUUGCACAAACUGUCAGAAACCGUCUCGGGGAAGCUCAUCUGCGUGCUUGUUGUUCUCACUAUUGUCUUGACCUAACUGCAGUUUUGUGUCGUAACUGACGAUGGACACUAGCUUGCUGGAGAAGUGUGCUCCUCACCAAUGAAUCUCAGUUUCAACUGUACCGACCAGAUGUGUUUUGAUGAUGUCCACGUUGUGAACAGAGUGCCUCAUGGUGGAAGUGGGGUUUAUGGUAUGGGCAGGCAUAAGCUCAUUGUUGUGCCAUUCAUCCGCUGCCAUCACCUCAUGUUUCAGCAUGGUAAUGCAUGGCCCCAUGUCGCAAGGAUCUGUACAGAAUUUCUGGAAGCUGAAAAUAUCUCAGUUCUUCCAUGGCCUGCAUACUCACCCCCUAGCACUCCCAUUGAGCAUGUUUAGGAUGCUCUGGAUCUACGUGUACGACAGCGUGUUCCAGUUCCCGCCAAUGUCCAGCAACUUCGCACAGCCAUUGAAGUGGAGUGGGACAACAUUCGACAGGACACAAUCAACAGCAUGACCAACUCUAUGCAAAGGAGAUGUGUCACGCUGCAUGAGGCAAAUGGUGGUCACACCAGAUACUGACUGGUCUUCUGAUCCACACCCCUACCCUUUUUGUAAGUUAUCUGUGACCAACAGAUGCAUAUCUGUAUUCCCCGUCAUGUGAAAUCCAUAGAUUUAAUUUAUUUCAAUUUACUGAUUUCCUUAUAUGAACUGUAACUCAGUAAAAUCUUAAAAAUUGUUGUAUGUUGCAUUUAUAUUUUUGUUCAGUGUACAUCUCCGGGACUCACCCUAGAAGACAAAGGAAUAUAGUUUGUUUUAAAUGCCGUGACUUAGUAAUCUUUUCACCAACAGAACAGGUGCUAAAAAAAGCCUGUCCUUACUAGUGUAAGGGAAAUGUUUAUGUUUGUGCUAUUCUUAUAACGAAUUUCUGUGUUGUAUUCAUGUGCUGUUCUAUAAACCAAUUUCUGUGUUCUUGCAAGUGACUGACUGUACAAAUCCUCACUAUCAGUAGCUGCAAUUUGGCAGUAUGCCCAGACCUUUUUUUGAGAGAUAUCUCAGUUUCAAGGUUUCAGCUUAGAGAGAUAGAAGCCUCGUGAGGUGUUGGUCUGUCACAUGUUAUGAACCAAUAUUGGUCUGUCACAUGGAUGAAACAAAAUGGUAAUUAU